This 1159-nucleotide ribosomal RNA is filed under the name uncultured bacterium. Its description in RNAcentral is "bacterial SSU rRNA". It matches the Rfam family "Bacterial small subunit ribosomal RNA", at positions 240 to 1401 of the family's 1533-position model. The record is from RNAcentral.
AUUAGCUAGUUGGCGGGGCAACGGCCCACCAAGGCAUCGAUGGGUAGGGGUUCUGAGAGGAAGGUCCCCCACAUUGGAACUGAGACACGGUCCAAACUCCUACGGGAGGCAGCAGUGAGGAAUAUUGGUCAAUGGGCGAGAGCCUGAACCAGCCAAGUAGCGUGCAGGAUGACGGCCCUAUGGGUUGUAAACUGCUUUUAUAAGGGAAUAAAGUGAGUCACGUGUGACUUUUUGCAUGUACCUUAUGAAUAAGGACCGGCUAAUUCCGUGCCAGCAGCCGCGGUAAUACGGAAGGUCCGGGCGUUAUCCGGAUUUAUUGGGUUUAAAGGGAGCGUAGGCCGGAGAUUAAGCGUGUUGUGAAAUGUAGACGCUCAACGUCUGCACUGCAGCGCGAACUGGUUUCCUUGAGUACGCAUAAAGUGGGCGGAAUUCGUGGUGUAGCGGUGAAAUGCUUAGAUAUCACGAAGAACUCCGAUUGCGAAGGCAGCUCACUGGGGCGCAACUGACGCUGAAGCUCGAAAGCGCGGGUAUCGAACAGGAUUAGAUACCCUGGUAGUCCGCGCGGUAAACGAUGGAUGCCCGCUGUUGGGCCAACUGGUUCAGCGGCCAAGCGAAAGCAUUAAGCAUCCCACCUGGGGAGUACGCCGGCAACGGUGAAACUCAAAGGAAUUGACGGGGGCCCGCACAAGCGGAGGAACAUGUGGUUUAAUUCGAUGAUACGCGAGGAACCUUACCCGGGCUUGAAUUGCAGAGGAAGGAUUUGGAGACAAUGACGCCCUUCGGGGCCUCUGUGAAGGUGCUGCAUGGUUGUCGUCAGCUCGUGCCGUGAGGUGUCGGCUUAAGUGCCAUAACGAGCGCAACCCCUCUCCAUAGUUGCCAUCAGGUAAAGCUGGGCACUCUGUGGACACUGCCACCGUAAGGUGUGAGGAAGGUGGGGAUGACGUCAAAUCAGCACGGCCCUUACGUCCGGGGCUACACACGUGUUACAAUGGCAGGUACAGAGAGUUGUCGUUCGCAAGUACGAUCUAAUCCUUAAAGCCUGUCUCAGUUCGGACUGGGGUCUGCAACCCGACCCCACGAAGCUGGAUUCGCUAGUAAUCGCGCAUCAGCCAUGGCGCGGUGAAUACGUUCCCGGGCCUUGUACACACCGCCCGUCAAG